This 65-nucleotide transfer RNA is filed under the name Gastrimargus marmoratus. RNAcentral's name for it is "tRNA-Phe". Lineage: Eukaryota; Metazoa; Arthropoda; Insecta; Orthoptera; Acrididae. The record is from RNAcentral.
ACCUAAAUAGCUUAUUUUAGAGUAUAACAUUGAAGAUGUUAGGGAAAUAUUAUUAUUUUUAGGUA